CAGCAGCCGCGGGAACACGAAGGGGGCUAGCGUUGUUCGGAUUUACUGGGCGUAAAGGGCGCGUAGGCGGACUGAUAAGUCAGGGGUGAAAUCCCAAGGCUCAACCUUGGAACUGCCUUUGAUACUGUUUGUCUUGAGUUCGAGAGAGGUAAGUGGAACUGCGAGUGUAUAGGUGAAAUUCGUAGAUAUUCGCAAGAACACCAGUGGCGAAGGCGACUCUCUGGUCUGUAACUGACGCUGAGGAGCGAAAGCGUGGGGAGCGAACAGGAUUAGAUACCCGAGUGUCCCUGUCUCUAUACAC
RNAcentral lists this ribosomal RNA (301 nucleotides) under uncultured bacterium. RNAcentral's name for it is "partial 16S ribosomal RNA". It matches the Rfam family "Bacterial small subunit ribosomal RNA", at positions 509 to 809 of the family's 1533-position model. The record is from RNAcentral.